RNAcentral lists this ribosomal RNA (363 nucleotides) under uncultured bacterium. RNAcentral's name for it is "partial 16S ribosomal RNA". It matches the Rfam family "Bacterial small subunit ribosomal RNA", at positions 338 to 698 of the family's 1533-position model. The record is from RNAcentral.
CCUACGGGUGGCAGCAGUGAGGAAUAUUGGUCAAUGGCCGGAAGGCUGAACCAGCCAAGCCGCGUGAAGGACGAAGGUGCAAAGGAUUGUAAACUUCUUUUGUCAAGGGACAAAAUCAGGCGCGAGAGCCUGACCGAGGGGACGUGAAGAAAAAGCAUCGGGUAACUCCGUGCCAGGAGCCGCGGUAAUACGGAGGAUGCGAGCGUUAGCCGGAUUUAUUGGGGUUCAAGGGAGCGUCGACGGCAGCACAAGUCUGGCGUGAAAUCCCGGGGCUUAACCCCGGAACUGCUUUGGAAACUGUGCGGCUUGAGUGCAGGAGGGGUAAGCGGAAUUCCUAGUGUAGCGGUGAAAUGCGUAGAUAUU